UACGUAGGGUGCGAGCGUUAAUCGGAAUUACUGGGCGUAAAGCGUGCGCAGGCGGUUUUGUAAGCCAGAUGUGAAAUCCCCGGGCUUAACCUGGGAACUGCGCUUGUAACUGGCGAACUGGAGUGUGGCAGAGGGGGGUGGAAUUCCGCGUGUAGCAGUGAAAUGCGUAGAGAUGCGGAGGAACACCGAUGGCGAAGGCAGCCCCCUGGGCUAACACUGACGCUCAGGCACGAAAGCGUGGGGAGCAAACAGG
RNAcentral lists this ribosomal RNA (253 nucleotides) under uncultured bacterium. Its description in RNAcentral is "partial 16S ribosomal RNA". It matches the Rfam family "Bacterial small subunit ribosomal RNA", at positions 524 to 776 of the family's 1533-position model. The record is from RNAcentral.